AAUCAUCGAUGCAAUUUCUUGACAGCAUGGAAUCGCCCCCUCAUCAAUGGUUCGAUGACGU
This 61-nucleotide small RNA is filed under the name Nitrososphaera viennensis EN76. Its description in RNAcentral is "P10". Lineage: Archaea; Thermoproteati; Nitrososphaerota; Nitrososphaeria; Nitrososphaerales; Nitrososphaeraceae. The record is from RNAcentral.